UUCUUAGUGGCGGACGGGUUAGUAACACGUGAGAAUCCUACCCUUGAGUGGGGAAUAGCCUUUCGAAAGGAAGAUUAAUGCCCCAUAGUCUCUACGGAGUAAAGAUGCCUUCGGGUGUCGCUUAAGGAUGGGCUCGCGGCCUAUCAGCUAGUUGGUGAGGUAAGAGCUCACCAAGGCAACGACGGGUAGCUGGUCUGAGAGGACGAUCAGCAACACUGGAACUGAGACACGGUCCAGACACCUACGGGUGGCAGCAGUCGAGAAUCAUUCACAAUGGACGAAAGUCUGAUGGUGCAACGCCGCGUGGAGGAUGACGGCCCUAGGGUUGUAAACUCCUGUCAUCAGGGAGUAAGACUUAUUCGUUAAUAGCGUGUAAGUUUGAUAGUACCUGAAGAGGAAGGGACGGCUAACUUCGUGCCAGCAGCCGCGGUAAUACGAAGGUCCCAAGCGUUGUUCGGAAU
Molecule: ribosomal RNA, 461 nt
Filed under: uncultured Roseibacillus sp.
Lineage: Bacteria; Pseudomonadati; Verrucomicrobiota; Verrucomicrobiia; Verrucomicrobiales; Verrucomicrobiaceae
Description: bacterial SSU rRNA
Rfam family: Bacterial small subunit ribosomal RNA
Source: RNAcentral